AUAUUACUAAGCGGAGGAAAAGAAAUUAACAAAGAUUACCUUAGUAGGGGCGACUGAACAGGUAAGAGCCCAAGAUGAAAAUCUAUGCCUUAGACAUAGAGUUGUAAUCUUAUCAACAAGGAGGAGUCUUCUCGUAUAAGUUUCCUUGGAACAGGACGACAAAGAGGGUGAAAUCCCCGUAUUUGGCGAGAGGACGAAUUCAUUUGGAUGAGACUGAGUCAAGCUACUUGGUAUUGUAGCUUAAAUAGGGAGAUAAACUUCUUCCAAGGCUAAAUAUCGAUGAGAAACCGAUAGCGAACAAGUACUGUGAAGGAAAGAUGAAAAGAGCUUUGAAAAGAGGGUUAAAAGACUUGAAACCGUUGAAAUGGAAGCGAUAAAAGCUGGCUAAUUGCAGAAGCAAAGGCUUGUUUGGGCGAAGCGGAGGCAAAUAGCCGAAGUGGCCUGUAUGCAAGUACUUACUUCUGUAAAAGGCAAAAUCAGGUGUGGAGCUCCGAAUAGCGAAAGCGAAGGAAAGACUCGCCUGAGGACGAUUUUGCCAAAACGGCUUUUACCGA
Molecule: ribosomal RNA, 554 nt
Filed under: uncultured fungus
Lineage: Eukaryota; Fungi
Description: eukaryotic LSU rRNA
Rfam family: Eukaryotic large subunit ribosomal RNA
Source: RNAcentral